This 655-nucleotide unclassified non-coding RNA is filed under the name Armillaria ostoyae. RNAcentral's name for it is "partial contains 28S ribosomal RNA and intergenic spacer 1". The stretch from base 1 to 73 matches the Rfam family "Eukaryotic large subunit ribosomal RNA", at positions 3329 to 3401 of the family's 3401-position model. The record is from RNAcentral. Lineage: Eukaryota; Fungi; Basidiomycota; Agaricomycetes; Agaricales; Physalacriaceae.
GGGGUACUGUAAGUGGUAGAGUAGCCUUGUUGCUACGAUCCACUGAGGUUAAGCCCUUGUUCUAAAGAUUUGUUCAACUUUGUUGGACUUUCUCUUUUCUUUUUACAUGCUGAAACCUUGAGGGCCGGGAUAGUAUCCUUUGUGCACUCGCGACAGCAUGUUACUUGCGUUCGAACGGGUAAGCUAACAACAACUUUGUGUUUUGUUACCUUUCUCGUUUGAAUCAUGAGUUAUUAUGAGCCUUGAAGGCUUAGAAGGAACUUGGUUAGCAAGCUCUAAACGCGCGCUGACUUGGAACGGUCUUUGCCUUGUACUUGAUAUCGACCUUAUGGCCGAUAUCCCGCAUAUGGUAUAGCCAAGAUCCUUGAAAGAGCGAGUUAAUGAGUGAUUUUCUGGAUCGUCAGUGAGCUUGAAUGCCUGCCCUAAGGUUGCCAUGAAUGAAAUGGCCUUAGGAGCUAAGUAAGCUAAGCUACGGUUACCUUUCUAGCCGUUGUAACCGUUUACUUAGCUUUCUAGGGCUACGUUCAAACUUUGAACGGCAACUGGUCCUGAAUCGAAAGGUUUGCUAUGUAAACCUUUAGUCAAGACCUGUUUGCAACAAAUUUGGUGGCUGCAGGGCGAGUUUUCAUUGAUUUGGCCUAUAGCGAAAGUUGGU